CGCUGGUCUUUAUGCUCUCGGUAUGUCAGUCACCAUGGUGGCAUACAACAGAGCAGAGCGGCGGCGGCUCUAUCUUCACUUUUAGCUCCAUCAAAAUGCAAACAUAGUAGAUUUUCUCAGUGAGAGGACGCGAGUCUUCCUCUGAUAAUGGGCGCGAGCUGGUUGCUGACGGGUUAGCCGCUUGCUAUUUCCUCACUUUUUUGUUUGCUGGAUCCUUACAUGGAAUUUCUCCCCCGUCGCUAGCAGAGCAGAAUGCUGAAGAGACAAGGAAUGGCUUUAAUGAACGCUGGCUUGAAUAAAGGGACAACACUUUUUACGCUAAGAAAAUAACUCUUAAGAGAGGGAGUUUGACCGGCGCUUUUAAAGGAAGUUUCCUCCCCGGCGAGGACCGGUGUUGGCAGCCGGAUUCGGCACGGGCAGCAGAAAGACAGACACCCUGAGGAGACUGCUCGGCUGUCUGGCUCCAGUCGUGGCCUGGCUCAGGGCACUCCCAGCUUACCCGCUAGCAUCUGAGCACAGGCGACGAGAAUAAAGCAAGACAAUAGGGGGACUUGUUUUGUAUAUAUCCUACCCCUGGAUAUAAGUAAUUUUAAGGAUAAGGAAUUCCACAUCCUCUAGACGGCUUCUUCCAAAACAAUGGCGUCUUACGUGGAUAACAGCUUUCGGCAGGCUGUGAUGAAGAAUCCGGCUGAACGGACGCAACAGGACCUGGAGAUCGUCUACUCUUAUCUCCAUGGGAUGGAGGCCUUAUCCAACCUGCGAGAGCACCAGUUGAGGAUCAUGUGUGAGACGGUGCGUUAUGAGAGACAUGAGGCCAACGAAGUGCUAUACUACCCUGAUGACAUAGGAAGCUGCUGGUACAUCCUGUUGUCUGGCUCAGUUUUCAUCAAAGAAUCCAUGUUCUUGCCCAGAAGCAGUUUUGGGAAGCGAUCAGCUGGCAGCCUUCGACGUGGAUGUGAGUGCAUCGUCCUGGAACCAUCAGAGAUGAUUGUGGUGGACUAUAUGGAUGAAAAUGAGGAGUACUUUCAGCGACAAGCCUCGCACAGACAGUCCCGUCGGCGCUUUCGGAAGAUCAACCAGAAAGGGGAGAGACAAACAAUCAUCGACACCGUGGAUCCGUACCCUACAGGAAAGCCGCCCAUAGCCCGCGGGUACCACACGGAAUGCAAUAAACCCCAGCUCCCCGCAGACUUCAGCAGACUUCACCUGGCCGACGGCUUACACCCACAGGUGACCCACGUCUCCUCAAGCCACUCAGGAUGUAGUAUCACCAGUGACUCCGGAAGCAGCAGCCUGUCAGACAUUUACCAGGCCACAGAAAACGAACCAGGUGACAUGGACCUGAGUGGCCUGCCAGAGACCGCUGUGGACUCUGAGGAGGACGACGAUGAAGAGGACAUCGAGCGAGCGUCCGACCCCCUCAUGAGCCGGGACAUUGUGCGGGAUUGUCUGGAGAAGGACCCCAUGGACCGGACCGACGAUGACAUAGAGCAAUUACUAGAGUUCAUGCAUCAACUGCCAGCAUUUGCCAACAUGACCAUGUCAGUGAGGAGGGAACUCUGCGCUGUCAUGGUUUUCGCUGUGGUCGAACGCGCCGGCACCAUCGUUCUCAAUGAUGGAGAAGAGCUGGACUCAUGGUCGGUGAUCCUGAACGGUUCGGUGGAGGUGACGUACCCUGACAGUCGGACAGAAAUCCUGUGCAUGGGAAAUAGUUUUGGGGUGUCACCAACCAUGGAGAAAGAAUACAUGAAAGGUGUCAUGAAGACCAAAGUAGACGACUGCCAGUUUGUGUGUAUAGCCCAGCAGGACUACUGCUGCAUCCUCAACCAGGUGGAGAAGAACAUGCAGAAGGUUGAGGAGGAAGGAGAAAUUGUUAUGGUUAAGGAACACCGUGAACUAGACCGCACCGGCACCAGGAAAGGACACAUUGUCAUCAAGGGCACACCAGAGCGUCUCACCAUGCACCUCGUAGAGGAGCACUCAGUGGUGGACCCUACAUACAUCGAGGACUUCCUGUUGACCUACAGGACCUUCCUCUCAAGCCCCAUGGUCGUGGGCAAGAAGCUCCUGGAGUGGUUCCACGACCCAAGUCUCAGGGACAAGGUUACACGGGUAGUCUUGCUGUGGGUAAACAAUCACUUCAAUGACUUUGAAGGUGACCCUGCCAUGACUCGCUUUCUGGAAGAGUUUGAAAACAAUCUGGAAAAAGAAAAAAUGUGUGGGCACCUAAGACUGUUAAACAUAGCAUGUGCUGCUAAAGCCAAGCCACGGCUGGUGACACUAACCAAGCCGUCCAGGGACUCUCCACUGGCAUUCAGCCUUCUCGGAGGUCAGGAGAAAGGUUUCCGCAUCUUCAUCGAUGCUGUGGAGCCUGGAAGCAAAGCAGCAGAAGCUGGCCUUAAGCGUGGAGAUCAAAUCUUGGAGGUCAAUGGACAGAAUUUUGAGAAUGUCCAGCUCAGCAAAGCCAAUGAGAUUCUGAAGAACAACACCCACUUGUCCAUAACUGUGAAGACAAACCUUUUAGUGUUUAAAGAGCUGCUAACAAGGCCAGAACACGACCAUGAUUUGGAUUGUGAGGAGGAACAUGAUCGAAAGAAUGGGGCACCCCACCUUCCAAAGAUUGGGGACAUUAAGAAGGCCAGUCGCUACUCGAUCCCCGACCUGGCGGUGGAUGUGGAGCAGGUGAUGAGUCUGGAAAAGGUCAGCAAGAAGGCAAAGACCAACACAGUGGGAGGACGCAACAAGCUGAAGAAGAUCUUUGAUAAGACGCUCACCAGCAUCCUGCCCCCUAAACCAUACAACGACGUUUGCGUGGGCCAAUCACAGGAUGACAGCAUAGUGGGAAUGAAGCAGUCCAAACAGAUCCCACCAGCUCUGCCAGUCAGCGGAAACCUCUCGUCGUCAAACCCAGACCUCCUGCAGUCACACCACCGCAUCCUCGACUUCAACAACCAGCCUGUCCCAUUGAUAAUGAAUAUGUCAGACCAGGUGCUGCGAGUCUUCAAGGCGGACCAGCAGUCUCGGUAUAUUAUGAUCGGGAAGGACACAACCGCUAAAGAAGUGGUGGCCCAGGCUAUCAGGGAGUUCGCCCUGACUGCUGCACCGGAGGCUUAUUCACUGUGCGAGGUGUCUGUCACACCCGAGGGCGUCAUCAAGCAGAGACGGUUACCGGAUCAGCUUUCUAAGCUAGCCGACAGGAUUCAGCUGAGCGGCAGAUACUACCUAAAGAGCAACAUGGAGACGGAGACGUUAUGUUCCGAUGAGGAUGCCCAGGACCUCCUUCGAGAAGGACAGAUUUCUUUGUUACAGCUCAGCACCGUGGAGGUGGCCACGCAGCUCUCCAUGCGGGCCUUUGAACUUUUCUGCGCCAUCGAGCCCACCGAAUACAUCGAUGACCUUUUCAAGCUGCGCUCAAAGACUGGCUCUGUCAGUCUCAAGCGCUUCGAGGAGGCAAUUAACCACGAGACCUUCUGGGUGGCCACUGAGGUUACGCGGGAACCGAACCAGCUCAAACGCAUGAAGAUCAUCAAGCACUUCAUCAAGAUAGCCCUGCACUGUCGCGAGUGCAAGAACUUUAGCUCCAUGUUCGCGAUCAUCAGUGGUCUGAACCUGGCUCCAGUCUCCAGACUAAGAGGCACAUGGGAGAAGUUGCCAAGCAAAUAUGAGAAACUGUUCGGGGACCUGCAGGACCUCUUCGACCCUUCAAGGAAUAUGGCCAAGUACAGGAAUGUCCUCAGCAAUCAAAACCUCCAGCCACCAAUCAUCCCCCUGUUCCCUGUCAUCAAGAAGGACCUCACCUUUCUACAUGAAGGCAAUGACUCUAAAGUGGACGGCCUGGUGAACUUUGAAAAGCUGCGGAUGAUUGCCAAAGAAAUUCGCCAUGUUGGUCGCAUGGCGUCUGUCAACAUGGACCCAGCCCUUAUGUUCCGAACAAGGAAGAAGAAAUGGAGAAGUUUAGGCAGGUCGCUAAGUCAGGGUAGCGCCAAUGCCGCCGUGCUUGACGUCACACAGACAGGUGGGCACAAGAAGCGGGUGCGACGCAGCUCCUUCCUAAAUGCCAAAAAGCUUUACGAGGAUGCCCAGAUGGCUAGGAAGGUCAAACAGUACCUGUCCAACCUCAGCCUGGAAACGAAUGAGGAGAGUCUUCAGACGCUCUCCCUACAGUGUGAACCCUCCAUUAGCACAUUGCCCAAAAAUGCAGGUGGGAAACGACCAGACACUUCUCCAGUUGUGCCCAGAGCUGCGAGUCAACAAAGGGGUCAGCUGGCCAAAGGAAACCAGGCUCUCCAGGUCCCCGCUGUGGCCCUUUACCCAUCUCGAAAGAAAGUGCAAGUCAAGGAUCUGCCACCAUUUGGCACCAGUUCCCCGCAGUCUCUGAAAAAAAUCCUCGCUCUUUCAGAGGAGGGGAGCGAAAGACACCGGAGGCAGCCAGAGGACACCAUGUCCAAUGCCUCCUCCCAGCUCUCCUCCCCUCCCACCUCCCCCCAGAGCUCGCCCAAGAAGGGUUACAACAGGAUGGGAGACACCUACUCAGACUCUGGUCACAGUGAAAUCUCCUCUCGCUCCAGUCUCGUUAGUAACUCCUCUUUCGACAUGGCCCAGGAGGAGAGGAGACUCCGUCACUCUGGAGUAGUCGGGGAUUCUCACAUCGGAGGAUCAAGGCUGGAACGAAGAGCCACGACUGACCCUGAUCAGUACAGUCUUGGGUCAUAUUCAUCAAUGCAGGACUGUCGGGGCAUUUAUGCUGGCGGCCAUACAGUACUCUCCUCACCCAGUUCAGAAGAACUGACUCAGGAUCAGGGAGACCGCGUUUCCCUCGAUGCUGCAGACAGCGGCCGCGGUUCUUGGACGUCCUGUUCAUCUGGCUCCCACGACAAUAUCCAGACCAUGCAGCAAGGACGUAGUUGGGAAACUUUGGCCUUUGGCGGUGGUGGAAGUGGAGGCGGCAUUGGAGGGCUCCCUCCCGGCGGGCCAGAUGCCUUAUUAGGGGGAUCAGCUGCACUGUGGGCAGCACAGGCAAGAGGGAGCUGGGCAUCUGCCAGCUCCUCCUCGUCCUCAGCGGCAUACUGGGGGGAGGACUCCGAGGGGGAUACCGGCACCAUAAAGAGGAGAGGAGGAAAGGACGUCAGCACCGACCCAGAAACAAGUAGCAUCACAUCCACCGGGUCAGAGGAGGCAAAGCAGCUCGGCCGACCGUCUCCAUCACCCAUCACCGUCGGAAAUAAAGGCGGCCUUUCUCGAAAAGAGGGCCGUUACCGUGAGCCUCCCCCGACUCCCCCCGGCUACACUGCCUUGACCAUCUCCGACCUCGCUGAGGACAGCACCCAUCCCAGUCUGUUCCCACGUCCACAGCAAGCCACUCAGGCCGGCGGCCACCAGACUACACUACGGCUCUGCAGCGCUCGCGCAUGGUCACCCAGUCGCCCGACUCCCACCAGGCCCACCAGGGGGCCAAGCACCGGGCAGGCGGCCUCCACCGCACUCGCUCACCCGCCGAGGAGCAAGAGCCUGAAGAGGAAGAGGAGGGUGAGUCCUUGUCUUCCAAACUAGUCGCUCUGAGGAAGCCAGUGGCACAGCAUACACCAGAGACUCCCAGACCAUGACAGUGUGUGUACGGGGGUUAACAGGCAGGGCCCGACUCCCCAAGGCAGAGGAUGAACAGGUGUCAGCGGUUUGAGGGACAACAGUGGACAUCUUUGUGCAGUAACUUGAAGUGCCCCUUGUUCAGGGUGGGCAGGAUUAAAGAGACAGGCAAACAGACUCAUCCGUGACAUAACGUGCCUGCCUCCUCCACUUGAUUCUCCCUCCUUAUCGGUGGAUUCCUCUGCUCAUCUCCCUCCUCCGCCUUAAAGCAUCAUAGAGGGUUGAAUGACCCUGCAUGCAAAAAAAAAAAAAAGAAAAAAAAGAUAAAAAUACUGUGAAGAAGAGAUGGAGAGAAGGUCAAAGACAAUUUAAAAAAAUGCCUGGCACUUUGGAAAAAAUGAGACUGCAGAACCCUGACUGGCACUGGGUUUUGGGGGGGGGGGGGUGCUUCACCCUAGCCACAGACACACAAAACCACAUAAAUAUUACUGUUACAAACAGGACUGACUUCUUAAGACUGCCCCCCACCACCACCGCCGCCGCCAUCAAUAACAAAACCCCAGACCUUGCUGUUGACACCACAGCAUCGUGACGUGUUGAGCUUCAUCUGCACUUUCUCAUUUUCUACUUUCUAAAAAAAACAAAACCAACAAAAAAAAAAAACAACCCAAGAACAAAUAAAACAACAAAACAGACUAAUGUUGAAGACGGAGAGAAACGACGGUUGACUUGACUCUUAAUUUUCAACUUCCCACUAGAUUUUUUUUUUUGUUUGUUUGUUUUAGUUUUGUUUCUUUGAUUGCACUCUGGGGGACCGAAAAGAGAAAUCAAGUCAGCCCAUAAUUUCUCUGCCUGGACUGAAAUGACCCAUCUGUUGCUGAGGGUUUGAACUCUGAAUCCAGUAUUAUCUCAUGUCACAUAUGAAAGCUAAUCACCUGUUGGUUUAAAUCAAAGAGCUAGGAGGACUCAGGUGGGAGAACCAACGUGCACACAUACACAAACACACACACACACAAUACAUUUUGCAUACCCAAGCAUAGACAAAAUCACAGUUUAAUUCAAAAGCUAGCACUUUCAGCACAAUAUCAGUUUUUACCAGAUGCUUGCCCCCCCACCCCCCCACCCCCCGGAUACCAGGGUAUGAGUGAAGCAUAUCAGCAGAGUGUGUCUGGUUAUAUCUCAGUCUUUGUAUCAUCUAGUUGCUUUGUUUUACACCGAGACUUUUGAUGGCGAUUAUAGGAAAAAGCACAGAGAUGACCCACUGGGAAUCACGUGAGGCUUAACGGUGUUGGUCUCUACAGUGCAUCAGAGGCACACAAGCGAGCUAAAGCGAGAAAUCUAAGAA
This is an RNA transcript of Oreochromis niloticus (Nile tilapia), 6928 nucleotides long. It is a transcript of the gene named Rap guanine nucleotide exchange factor 2b, with no coding region annotated. The record is from RefSeq and is a predicted model, not a curated record. Lineage: Eukaryota; Metazoa; Chordata; Actinopteri; Cichliformes; Cichlidae. The transcript has 31 exons.